Non-coding RNA from Nematostella vectensis (starlet sea anemone), 84 nucleotides. The record is from Rfam. Lineage: Eukaryota; Metazoa; Cnidaria; Anthozoa; Actiniaria; Edwardsiidae.
GUCAGGAUGGCCGAGCGGUCUAAGGCGCUGCGUUCAGGUCGCAGUCUGGUUAUCCAAGCGUGGGUUCGAAUCCCACUCCUGACA